Non-coding RNA from Callithrix jacchus (white-tufted-ear marmoset), 5287 nucleotides. The record is from RefSeq and is a predicted model, not a curated record. NCBI's taxonomy places the organism in Eukaryota, Metazoa, Chordata, Mammalia, Primates, Cebidae.
GUCAUUGGCUACAUUGGACUGAAGAGGAAGCUGAGCUCAGAGCUGUUGCCUUCCCAGCGCCGUGACACACGACCAGAAGCGCCUUAGAGCUAGGGCGGAGGCCGGCUCCGCUGUGCGAGUCAAUGCUCUCCUGCCACAACCGCGUUGACUGAGCUCAGCCUCGAGGACUCACAGAUCGUUCACUCUCGGCUAAGCCCUUCGUAAGGCUCCGGACCUCGGGCCAGCAUAGGAGAGAGGUCUCCGCAAUUAAAAAGAAAACGGAGUCUCCCACUGUUACCCGGGCUGGAGUGCAAUGGCGUGAUCUUGGUUCACUGCAACCUCCGCCUCUCAGGCUCAUGCAAUUCGUCAGCUUGAACCUGCUGAGUAGCUGGAACUACAGAUACCUUUUAGGUUUUGCCAGUUGUCCCAACCAUGUCCUUCAGCAAGCAAGACCUUCAGAUCAGAGUCAGGCACUGCACUGAGCUAAGGCGUCUUCAGUAUGAUUUAGACUGGGACAGUUCCUGGGACCUUGACCCUCCGGGAGCUGACAGGAUUCGGAAAAUUGAAUACAUGGAAUUUGUUUUGCUUUAUCACAAUGAGAAACAGUUGCCAUCCCUUUUUAUGUGAAGCUGCUCUUCUUAUUAGAUUACUGCCCAAGCAUUCCAACCACUUAAACAAAAUCCAUCUGUGUGGCCCCAACCAAAGCCUUAAAACCCACCAAGAUCAGGCCUGGCACGGUGGCUCACACCUGUAAUCCUAGCACUUUGGGAGGCCGAGGCGGGCGGACCACCUGAGGUCAGGAGUUCGAGACCAGACUGGCCAACACAGCAAAACCCCAUCUCUACUAAAAAUACAAAAAUUAGCCGGGCGUGAUGGCAUGUGCCUGUAGUCCCAGCUACUUGGGAGGGUGAGGCAGGAGAAUCUCUUUAACACGGAAGGUGGAGGUUGCAGUGAGCCGAGAUCACACCACUGCAUUCCAGCCUGGGUGACAGGGCAAGACUCUAUCUCAAAACAACCACCCACCACCACCAACAACAAAAAACAAAGAAAAACCACCAAGACCAGAAAAGAUUCGGAACACUGGGUCACUUGGCUGCCUUCCGAGCACCUGUGCCAGCUAGAUAUGGCUCAUUUUAUAGAUAAGCAAACAGAGUCCCGUUGAGUGUAGUUUAUCCAGCAAUCACGGGUACAGAACGAGCCUCUUCUGACAUCCUUGGGCCAUGUAGACAAGCAAUUCAGGUUCAAAAUCACAUCAGUUCAGUCAAAACUCUUCUGCUGGUUUGGAAGGUAAAUGAAUACAGCCUUAAAUUUUGACUUUAUGAGUGCAAUUUUUUCCUCUUAUAACUUUGCAUUCUGUCCACAAUCUGAUUUGAAGAAUCUCUAAUUAAGAACCAAAUACUCUAUGUCAUAGGACAGUCGUAUUUUUAGGAUAGUGGUAUUCUUGGAGCUUAACAAUAACUAAUCAAGAUAAACAGGACUUCCGAGGAAUAGACACACAUAUAAACCAUUCAGAUUAACAAAAGGACAUGCCCAGAGUUGGAGAAAACCAUAGCCCACCCUGGGAUGAGCUCUGCCUUGUAGAGGGGGGCUGAGAUUUUACUGAGUCACCUGGAGCAAUGCUCUGCAUUUUCCGGACUUUUCUGGAGGUGAAAUAAGGUGAAAUAGGUGAAAUAAGCCAUUGAGGUGUCCUUCGCACUGUAGCUGGGCACACGGCAUCACUAGCUUGCUGGUCUGAUGCACUCUGGGAAAACUAGCCAAUGAGGUUCAUAUUAAAGCAUACCUACACCUCUUCACCCAUAAUUCGACCUGUCGUAUGGGGUAUGAACACCCAGCAUUUCUGAAUUCAGUUUAGGGUGAUGUUGAAACGACCAGCUUGGUGGCUCUGAAAGGUUUCUGUUGAUUUCUGUAAAAUACCUCUCAUCUCACAGCAAUGCUGGGCAAAUGCAAGAAGUGGUACUAACUACAUCAUGCUAUGAGGCUUGAGAACUAGGAGGGAUUCAGCCAAUGCCUCCUACCAGGCCAAAAACUAGAAGCCGUAUUGGAUUAUUCAAAAGCAACAUAGACAGGCUGGGUGCAGUGACUCAAUGCAGUAAUCCCAGCAUUUUGGGAUGCUGAGGCAGGUGAAUCAUUUAAGGUCAGAAGUUUGAGACCAGCUUGGUCACCAUGGUGAAACUCCAUCUAUACUAAAAAUACAAAAAAUUAGCUGUGUGUGGUGGCAAAUGCCUGUUAAUCCCAGCUACUCAGGAGGCUGAGGCAGGAGAGGUGCUUGAACCUGGGAGGUGAAGGUUACAGUGAGCCAAGGGCACUCCAGCCUGGGUGACAGAGUGAGACUCCAUCUCAAAAACAAGCAAACAAAAAAACCCCACAAAAAAAACCGUCGACAGAAACUGGACAUCCAAGAUGGCCACCAAACCAAACAUGUACUUAGAUGAAAACAACACAUCGUCAAACAAGGCAGACGAUGUUACCAGAACAUAAAAUCAUUAUCAACAUUACACAAACAUCCUCAUCCGGCUCCAUCUUCACCUGACUGCUGUUACCAAACUGCUUUUGUAGAAUUGUAUAUGGGACCCCAUCUUGUUCCUGGCACACAGGAGGUGAUGAGUGAAUGGAACCAUAGUCUGCCUCACAUAGACAAGGAGGAAAUGAGAGGCAAUGGCCUUGACUAGACCCGGAAGGGUCCUUGAUGAUUCAUCACGAAAGGUUACUCUGGAUAAGCUCCAUCCCCAAAGAGUGAUGUAAGGCUCAAGGAAGGAGGCUGUGUUUGCUCUCAUACUGGGAAAGAAGUGUAGGCACCCACAUGCGACACUUUCCUGUUCACAAUUUAAACUAUUUUGCUGUUGGCUGGGCACAGUGGUUCACACUUGCUAUCCCAGCACUUUGAGAGGCCGAGGCAGGUGGAUCACCGGAGGUCAGGAGGUGGGACCAGCCUGGCCAACAUGGGGAAACCCUAUCUCUUCUAAAAAUACAAAAUUAGCUAGGCAUGGUGGUGUACACCUGUAAUCCCAGCUACUCAGGAGGCUGAGGCAGGAGAAUCCCUUGAACCCGGGAGUCGGAGGUUGCAGUGAGCUGAGAUUGUGCCAUUGUACUCCAGCCUGGGCAAAACACCAUCUCAAUCACAAUAAUACUACUAAUAAUAAAACACAUUUAAAAAAAACAAACUAUUUUGCUGCCAUGCCUAUGCCAGUGACCAAGCCAGGAGCACAUCAGAGACCACAGUUCCAGGAGCUCUGCUAGCACCAGGUGACAGUGACGUUCCUGCCUGCUCUCAGCUGUCUUACGGUCUUACAGUGUAUGAACAUUCAGCAUUUCUGAAUUUAGUUUAGGGUGAUGAUGAAACAACGGCCAGCUUGGUGGCUCUGAGAGAUCUCUAUUAACAUGAGAAGCAGGCCAGGCGUGGUGGCUCACGCCUGUAAUUCAAGCACUUUGGAGACCAAAGUGGGCAGAUUACCUGAGGUCGGGAGUUCAAGACCAGCCUGACCAACAUGGUGAAACCCCAUCUAAAAAAAAUGAGAAGCUGUGUUUUCUGCUUGACAGCUGGUCCCAGGUGCAGCUUUCAGCAAAUCCAUGACCUGGGUAUAGGAGUUGGGACAAAAACACACUUAGCCCCUUCAUGGAGAUUGACAGCGACAUCACUAUGUUACAAGGAGCUUGGUGAGACUGUUUCAACUCAAAAAGUUGCCAACCCUAGUUGACCAUAAAUACUUUCUCCGUGUAAUACCUGUUAAUAUUAGAUAACCAUUUUUUUUUGGAGACGGAGUUUUGCUCUUGUUACCCAGGCUGGAGUGCAAUGGCGGGAUCUCGGCUCACCGCAACGUCCGCCUCCUGGGUUCAGGCAAUUCUCCUGCCUCAGCCUCCUGAGUAGCUGGGAUUACAGGCACGCGCCACCAUGCCCAGCUAAUUUUUUUGUAUUUUUAGUAGAGAUGGGGUUUUCACCAUGUUGACCAGGAUGGUCUCGAUCGCUUGACCUCGUGAUUCACCCGCCUCGGCCUCCCAAAGUGCUGGGAUUACAGGCAUGAGCCACUGCGCCUGGCCUGGAUAACCAUUUAAAAAAAAUCUGCUUUGUGGCAAUUUAUCUAUAAAUAAUAUUUCAUACAGUUAUUAAAAUUUUUCUGUAGCCUAAAAUAAUUCUUAACAUUUUUUGUUUUUCUUUAUUAAUGUCCUUGAAUCUAUAAUCACUUGUGCUAAAGUCACACAUUUUCCCAGUGAAACGGUAAUACAAGUUUCAUAUUCUCAGUCCUUACCACUUUACCCCUCACACAUAGGCAUAUAUCCAUGCUAUUUUCUACUUUCUUUCUUUUUCUUUUUUUGAGAACGAGUCCACUUUUGUCACCCAGGCUGGAGUACGGUGGCGUGAUCUCAGUUCACUGCAACCUCUGCCUCCCUGGUUCAAGCAAUUCUCUUGCCUCGCCCUCCCAACUAACUGGGACUACAGGUGUGAGCCACCACACCAGGCUAAUUGUUGUAUUUUUAGUAGAGAGAGGGUUUUACCACAUUGGCCAGGCUGGUCUCAAACUCCUGACCUUAGGUGAUCCACCUGCCUCAGCCUUCCAAAGGGGAUUGCAGGUGUGAGCCACUGUGACAGGCCACAUGCUACUCUCUUAACGACAGGGGACCUGGGGGUGUGAGGGCUUGAGGAAGGUGGACAUUGUUCAGAGACGUGAGCUCCAGGCUAGGGGAGGGCAGAGCACGCUCUACCAGUGGUUCCCAGACUUGGCGGCUCAUUGGAACCACCUGGCCAGGUUUUCAGUCUCUGAUAAUGGGGGUUCCCCUCACCAUCCCCAGCCCCCAAAGACUUUGAUUUAACUGGUCUAGUUAGAGCCUGGGCAUGGAGCCUGGGCAGCUCAAGUGAUUCUAAUGUGCUGCCAGGGUUGAGCACCACCGCUCUGUAUUAUUUGCUACUUGGUAGUGAGGUCUGUGGCCAAGUUUGCAAGAGUUGGAUGGAAGAAGAGUAGAAGAGGCAGCAGGGGCAGCUCACACAGUGGCAGGAGGACAGGCUGCAGCACAGAUGGGUGGACAUGAGCAGGUGAGCAGAGUGACUUAUCCCAGCCUCAAGCGCCAUGGAUCGUGGAUGAGAUGAUCAUGCCGGUGCUAAUGGAGAAGUUCCUGGAGGUCAGAUAUUUCGUUUUCCCACGUGGAUGAUGACAUGUUCCUGUAUGCUGUCGCAUCCCAUUAUUUUCAGUAGUUACGUUCUACGGUCACUGUGAACACUGAAUUAGUGAAUACCGAGCCAUUAGUUCUUAGUUUCCUGUGAGUCUCUGGACACAACAUUUUCAUUACAUUAUGAUUAAUACAGAACCUUACUCUG